RNAcentral lists this long non-coding RNA (363 nucleotides) under Lotus japonicus. RNAcentral describes it as "long non-coding RNA (LJAP_LNC002057)". Lineage: Eukaryota; Viridiplantae; Streptophyta; Magnoliopsida; Fabales; Fabaceae. The record is from RNAcentral.
ACAGUCCACUAUCUUACUCUUAAUCAUAUGGAUGAAGGAGAGUGUCAGCCUGUUAGGGUCAAGAGUGAAGACUUAGAUAAGCUCUAUUUGUGUAAUGCAAUGGUCAAUAUUAAUAAAAUAAUUUUCUUUAAAGAAUGAUCAAGUGUUGGAUUGGAGGCAACUAUACCCGUUUCAACUUUCCACAAGUAGCAUAAAAGAUCAUCUAAAUCUCUGUUAAAUUGUCAAGUAUUUAUUGAAUGUUUUGGAAUUUAAAAACCGGAUAAACAUGAACCAAUAUGGGUAGCUAGCUUGGAUUCUGUGGGCAUGUUUGUAAUUUGAAAGCAGAAGAAUCUUAUCCUCAUGACUAGGGUCUGAACCUGAAAU